AGUACUUCCUCAGUUACAUUAGCUGCAUUUCCAAUUUUAUUUUUAUUAUUUGUUAUUAUUAUUAUUAUUUUUGGCUGUGCACGUGGCAUGCAGAAGUUCCCAGGCCAGGGAUCGAAUUCACACCACAGCAGUGACAAUGCCAGAUGCUUAACUGCUAGGCCACCAGGGAAUUCCUAUAAUUUGGUAUUCUCUUCCUCAAAGAGACCCUCAAUAUUUUAUUAACUUCAGAGUCUAUAAAACUGGUUGGAAAGACCAUAUCUUGUGCCUCUUUGAAUCCUUUUAAACUUGGUUUAGUAAUGCUGAUCAUCAUAAUGAUGAUGAUUCUGAGACUUACAGAGCAUUUACAAGGCAUUCUCAGUCAUCUCAUUGGAUCCUUACAAACUAAAAGUUAGGCAUGGCCAUUGCCACUUUUACAGAUGACAAAACUGACUGCAGAGACACAAAGUGAUUUUUGCCUAAGGCCACCUAGCUAGUAAGUGACGGAGCCAGAGCUGAAGCUCAAGACUAUGGAUUCCAGAUGUCAUGCUUCCUCCUCUUAGGUUUUUGCUGCCUGUGGGUUCUGAAAGCCUUUCCAGCACUUACGGGAGGAUGCUCCUCCCCACCCCACCCCAUGCAGACCCAUUCGAAGAGCACUCCAUCUCCAUCCAACAAUUAUCUAAGUUGAAGUCGUCCAUCCUGCAUUUUUAAGUUAUUUUCCAGAUAAUGAACAUUUUUAACCAAUACAGGGUGCCCGAUACUAAUCACACAGAGCAAUCCGUAGGUGUAGGAAUUGCAUUUACCUUCCAAGCCCUAAUUGUGUUCAUUUCUUUGGGAGAACUUCUUCAACUGCCUGUCUUCAAGAGACUCUUAAAGCUCCCAAGAAAUUGCUAAGUGAUACUAGGAAUACACUUGCCUGAAUCUAGAGAUUUUGGGUAAGUAGCCUCUAAUUUAUCAUUUUACAUUACAGAAAGCCUGGAGAAUUAUAUAAAAGCCUUUGGCUUUUGCAUCUGUAUGUAAAAAUAUUCCCAAACUAGAGGAGCCCUCGAUCAUUAAUGAUGUCUAAACACUGACCCUGGAGAAAUCACUGUGUGUCUAGUCAUUCCCAAGGACAUGCCAGCUGUAAAAGCCAUGCAAGGAAGUACCUCCACCAGCAGGCCCUUGUCUUCUUUCCCAGACUUAAGCUGUCAGUGGAAAAGAGGUAAACAGAGACAGAAGUUGAGAACUCAGUCUCUGGAGUCGGGCCAGGCUGGGUGUGACCCUAGCUCCACCCCUUACCAGCUGUGGGGCUUAUGCAUAUCGCUUAACUUCAUUCAUCGAUUCCACAAAUAGUUGCUCAGUGAGCACCUACUAAAUGCCAGCUGACCAUUGUAGGUACUGAGACAAAGGAGUGAAAAAACAAAACUAUUGGAGUUCCUGAUGUGGCACAAAGGAACAUCAGUGGUGUCUUGGGAGCGCUGUGACUCAGGUUUAAUUCCAGAUAGGCACAGUGGGUUAAGAAUCAGGCAUUGCUGCAGCUCAAUAUUUAGCCUUGAUUUUAGAUUUUAAAAACAUUUGGUAUUGCUUGUUUAUAUUUUGAGCCACUCCAAAACCCUGCUUUUUAGAAAAUUCUUGAGGGAUUUCCCUCAGUGGGGCAUGUAUGAGAAACAGUCUCUGGAGCUUUGGGCCACAUGGACGGGAACUGUGAGGGCAACGGGAGAGUUACGUCCACUUGGUGAACACAGCCAUGGUCAUGAUCAGAACUUGCUCAGGUGGCCUUUGCACAGAUAUUCAUAGAAGAGCUUCCUUUUCGGUUUUAUUCUGAAGGGAUUCUGCUGAUACUAUUUUUACCACUGGAAUUUCUGUCUGCCCAGAACACAAUUUUGAAGUUUCAAAUGAAACAUUUACCUGAAUCCCUGACAUUACAGCUCACAUUCAUUUCCUUUCCUCUUGCCCUCCAGGUCUCAGCAGUGAGAUGGCCCAACCAAGAAAGAGAUCCCCCCCCCACUCCUGCUCAGAUCUGAUACCUGGGCUUUUCCUUGGGCCUCUCUGGGAUGUACCAAAACCCAAAGCCCAUGUACUGGCCAACCCUCCUUGGUACAGACACCAGGUCCAGAAUCACUCUGUCUUUGACAGUCAAGUGCACUGUCCUUUUCUCCUGCUCCUAAAGGAUCACACUAUCCUUCCUUGGUCUUUUUGUCAUUGAGAAUCCAUUUCCCAUUGGGAUCUGGAGUUCACUUCCUUGCUUCAAAUUUUUGAGAUGGGUUGAAACAAUAAGUAAGGUCAAAUUGUAUGAAAUUGCCAAAUAUCAGCUAUUUUUUUUUUUUUUUUAACCUAAAGGAAGGAAGGAGGGGAGGAAGAAAAGCUUAAAGAAGCCAGGGCUGGAAAUAGGUAACUACUCAUCUAUUCUGCUCUUUAAUGAUAAUUGUAGUUGAUGGAAUGUUUCCUCUUUAUGAAGUACUGGGCCAAGCAAAAUUUUACAUACAUCAUCUCAGUCAUUGUAGCAAGUGCAUGAAGUCCAGCUCCCUCUAUCAUCUCAUUCAAUUUCCAGUUUAAGGAUGCAAAACUGAGGGUCAGAGUUGUCAAGAGUCUUUCCCAAGGUCCUUCAACUCUAACCAGAGAAGCCAAGAGCUAUAUGCUAUAUCUUCUAUGUGACAAGGAUGGAUUACAAAUCAUUAAUCUCAAUAACUUCCACUACCUUCUUGUAAUCACCUAUGUUGUCAUUAUUAUAAGAGUAAUAGUGUUCAAUAUAGGAAAUCUGAAAAUUGUAUAACAUAUGACAGAAAAAAAUUAAAAAUGCAUAAAUCAAAGAUAAGUUCUACUAAUAUUCUGGAGUCUCUCUCAUUCUGUUUUUCUGAUUUAUUCUGCUUUUUAACAAAUUUGGAAUUGUCCUGUUUAUAUUGCUUUGUACCCUGCCUUAAAAAAAUAAAUACUAUGUCAUGAGUAUUAUUCCAAAUCAUUAAAAAUUCUCCAAAAAAGUGUUUGGUCGCAUUAUAUUGAUAUAUAAGUACUAUAACAUUAAUUGUUCAAUUGUUUUCUUCUUGUUGGAAAAGAAGUUCAUGUAUUUUGCUGUUAUAUGAUAAAGAUCCUUGAACAAAAGUCUCUGUUUUUAGUCCCCAGUGGCAGCCAAGUUUGUCUUAGAGAUGAUCUCCUUCUGAAAAAUGUCAUCAGUUACAUUUUCUGGUUGUUUAGUCACAAUGGAGUUGAUACAGCACACCUGCUGGGAGCUGACACAGCUGUGCCUGUGGUGUGAGGGCCAGGCCAAAGGCCAACAACGGGCAGAGUGGCUGGACCUGCAGCCACUGCCCACUCGGUGCUGCUCUGGGCUCAGCCUGGUGAGGACUUCCUGGGGGAAGUGGGAGGAGCAGAGUGGCGGAAGCAGGGAGAGCGCAAGUGUGGCUACUGUCCUGCACCCCUGAGAGCUCACCAGCGGCACAGAGCAGCUCACCUUGGUCCAGCCUUGGCACGUAGGGUGGCACCUAUCAUGUGGCUUGGGACACUGCACGUGUCCUCAGGCCUUCCUUCUGCAGCACACUUUCUAACCACCACAAACAAAACAGAGGACAGUGAGCAAAACACUUCCUUUUAGUUCCUCUUACCUUCCUUCAAUCCCCAAACCUACUUGUAAGUGGUCAAACUCACUUUCCCCACUCAGAGAAGAAAGGAGGGGGCUGACUUCUUUCACUGGGGACAGGGAGAAGAAAGGAAAGGGAAGAAGGCAGAAACAUAGCCAUUAGACUACAUUACCAGUUUCAUCUCUGGCUUCAUGCUUUCUUUCCUAAAGACUCACAUUUUGUAAUAUUUUAAAGCACUUAACUCAGUAAGAUUUAUUGAAUGUGUACUAUGUGCAAAGCACUGUGUUUAAGGCAGUGGAGAAUGGAAAUGGCCAAGGCCUAUCUUAAAAAAAAAAAAAAAAAAAA
This 3875-nucleotide long non-coding RNA is filed under the name Sus scrofa (pig). RNAcentral's name for it is "lncRNA (ENSSSCG00055014929.1)". Lineage: Eukaryota; Metazoa; Chordata; Mammalia; Artiodactyla; Suidae. The record is from RNAcentral.